This 468-nucleotide ribosomal RNA is filed under the name uncultured bacterium. RNAcentral's name for it is "partial 16S ribosomal RNA". It matches the Rfam family "Bacterial small subunit ribosomal RNA", at positions 28 to 507 of the family's 1533-position model. The record is from RNAcentral.
GACGAACGCUGGCGGCGUGCUUAACACAUGCAAGUCGAACGGAAAGGCCCUGCUUUUGUGGGGUGCUCGAGUGGCGAACGGGUGAGUAACACGUGAGUAACCUGCCCUUGACUUUGGGAUAACUUCAGGAAACUGGGGCUAAUACCGGAUAGGAGCUCCUGCUGCAUGGUGGGGGUUGGAAAGUUUCGGCGGUUGGGGAUGGACUCGCGGCUUAUCAGCUUGUUGGUGGGGUAGUGGCGUACCAAGGCUUUGACGGGUAGCCGGCCUGAGAGGGUGACCGGCCACAUUGGGACUGAGAUACGGCCCAGACUCCUACGGGAGGCAGCAGUGGGGAAUAUUGCACAAUGGGCGGAAGCCUGAUGCAGCAACGCCGCGUGCGUGAUGACGGCCUUCGGGUUGUAAACCGCUUUCGCCUGUGACGAAGCGUGAGUGACGGUAAUGGGUAAAGAAGCACCGGCUAACUACGUG